UACAGAGGGUGCUAGCGUUGUUCGGAAUCAUUGGGCGUAAAGGGCGUGUAGGCGGUUUGUUAAGUCAUGUGUGAAAUCCCUCGGCUCAACCGGGGAACGACGCAUGAAACUGGCAAGCUAGAGUACCAAAGAGGGGGGUGGAAUUCCCGGUGUUGCGGUGAAAUGCGUAGAUAUCGGGAGGAACACCUGUGGCGAAGGCGGCCCCCUGGUUGGAUACUGACGCUGAUACGCGAAAGCGUGGGGAGCAAACAGG
Molecule: ribosomal RNA, 253 nt
Filed under: uncultured bacterium
Lineage: Bacteria
Description: partial 16S ribosomal RNA
Rfam family: Bacterial small subunit ribosomal RNA
Source: RNAcentral